GAUGAACGCUGGCGGCGUGCCUAAUACAUGCAAGUCGAGCGAACAGACGAGGAGCUUGCUCCUCUGACGUUAGCGGCGGACGGGUGAGUAACACGUGGAUAACCUACCUAUAAGACUGGGAUAACUUCGGGAAACCGGAGCUAAUACCGGAUAAUAUAUUGAACCGCAUGGUUCAAUAGUGAAAGACGGUUUUGCUGUCACUUAUAGAUGGAUCCGCGCCGCAUUAGCUAGUUGGUAAGGUAACGGCUUACCAAGGCGACGAUGCGUAGCCGACCUGAGAGGGUGAUCGGCCACCCUGGAACUGGACCACGGUCCAGACUCCUACGGGAGGCAGCAGUAGGGAAUCUUCCGCAAUGGGCGAAAGCCUGACGGAGCAACGCCGCGUGAGUGAUGAAGGUCUUCGGAUCGUAAAACUCUGUUAUUAGGGAAGAACAAAUGUGUAAGUAACUAUGCACGUCUUGACGGUACCUAAUCAGAAAGCCACGGCUAACUACGUG
RNAcentral lists this ribosomal RNA (497 nucleotides) under uncultured bacterium. RNAcentral describes it as "partial 16S ribosomal RNA". It matches the Rfam family "Bacterial small subunit ribosomal RNA", at positions 28 to 507 of the family's 1533-position model. The record is from RNAcentral.